RNAcentral lists this unclassified non-coding RNA (366 nucleotides) under uncultured bacterium. RNAcentral describes it as "contains 16S-23S intergenic spacer region". The record is from RNAcentral.
UCCGACUUGGAGUCGGCAGUCUCGCAUGACAUAAGCAACAUACGAUGAGGGUUGCGCUCGUUUCCUGACUUAACAGUACACCUCAAGGCACGAGCUGACGACAACCAUGCAACACCUGUCUUCGGGUUCCGGUAAAGGCACUUUCCAAUUUCUUGAAAAUUCCCGAGAUGUCAAGCCCUGGUAAGGUUUCUCGCUUAUUGUCGAAUUAAACCACAUGCUCCACCGCUUGUGUAGGUCCCCGUCUAUUCCUUUGAGUUUUAGCCUUGCGGCCGUACUACCCAGGCGGGAUACUUAAUGCGUUAGCUUAGGCACCAAGGGGGUCGAAUCCCCUGAUACCGAGUAUCCAUCGUUUACAGCGUGGACUAC